AUUGAACGCUGGCGGCAGGCUUAACACAUGCAAGUCGAGCGGGGGAAGGUAGCUUGCUACCGGACCUAGCGGCGGACGGGUGAGUAAUGCUUAGGAAUCUGCCUAUUAGUGGGGGACAACAUCUCGAAAGGGAUGCUAAUACCGCAUACGUCCUACGGGAGAAAGCAGGGGAUCUUUGGACCUUGCGCUAAAUGAUGAGCCUAAGUCGGAUUAGCUAGUUGGUGGGGUAAAGGCCUACCAAGGCGACGAUCUGUAGCGGGUCUGAGAGGAUGAUCCGCCACACUGGGACUGAGACACGGCCCAGACUCCUACGGGAGGCAGCAGUGGGGAAUAUUGGACAAUGGGCGGAAACCUGAUCCAGCCAUGCCGCGUGUGUGAAGAAGGCCUUAUGGUUGUAAAGCACUUUAAGCGAGGAGGAGGCUACUUAGAUUAAUACUCUAGGAUAGUGGACGUUACUCGCAGAAUAAGCACCGGCUAACUCUGUGCCAGCCGCCGCAGUAA
RNAcentral lists this ribosomal RNA (501 nucleotides) under uncultured bacterium. RNAcentral's name for it is "partial 16S ribosomal RNA". It matches the Rfam family "Bacterial small subunit ribosomal RNA", at positions 30 to 523 of the family's 1533-position model. The record is from RNAcentral.